Molecule: ribosomal RNA, 775 nt
Filed under: uncultured Glomus
Lineage: Eukaryota; Fungi; Glomeromycota; Glomeromycetes; Glomerales; Glomeraceae
Description: SSU rRNA
Rfam family: Eukaryotic small subunit ribosomal RNA
Source: RNAcentral
GGCCUACCAUGGUGGUAACGGGUAACGGGGUGUUAGGGCACGACACCGGAGAGGGAGCCUGAGAAACGGCUACCACAUCCAAGGAUGGCAGCAGGCGCGCAAAUUACCCAAUCCCGACACGGGGAGGUAGUGACAAUAAAUAACAAUACGGGGUUCUUUAGGAUCUCGUAAUUGGAAUGAGUACAAUUUAAAUCUCUUAACGAGGAACAAUUGGAGGGCAAGUCUGGUGCCAGCAGCCGCGGUAAUUCCAGCUCCAAUAGCGUAUAUUAAAGUUGUUGCAGUUAAAAAGCUCGUAGUUGAAUUUCGGGGUUAGUAGGUUGGUCAUGCCUCUGGUAUGUACUGAUCUCACUGAUUCCUCCUUCCUUAUGAACCGUAAUGCCAUUAAUUUGGUGUUGCGGGGAAUUUGGACUGUUACUUUGAAAAAAUUAGAGUGUUUAAAGCAGGCUAACGCUUGAAUACAUUAGCAUGGAAUAAUGAAAUAGGACGUUCGAUCUUAUUUUGUUGGUUUCUAGGAUUGACGUAAUGAUUAAUAGGGAUAGUUGGGGGCAUUAGUAUUCAAUUGUCAGAGGUGAAAUUCUUGGAUUUAUUGAAGACUAACUACUGCGAAAGCAUUUGCCAAGGAUGUUUUCAUUAAUCAAGAACGAAAGUUAGGGGAUCGAAGACGAUCAGAUACCGUCGUAGUCUUAACCAUAAACUAUGCCGACUAGGGAUCGGAUGAUGUUAAUUUUUUAAUGACUCAUUCGGCGCCUUACGGGAAACCAAAGUGUUUGGGUUC